RNAcentral lists this ribosomal RNA (245 nucleotides) under uncultured bacterium. RNAcentral's name for it is "partial small subunit ribosomal RNA". It matches the Rfam family "Bacterial small subunit ribosomal RNA", at positions 26 to 285 of the family's 1533-position model. The record is from RNAcentral.
AGAAUCAACGCUGGCGGCGUGCCUAGCACAUGCAAGUCGCACGAGAAAGGGUAGCAAUACCUGAGUACAGUGGCGCACGGGUGAGUAACACGUGAAUAAUCUACCUCCGAGUGGGGAAUAACUGAGAGAAAUCUUAGCUAAUACCGCAUAACACUUACGAGUCAAAGCAGCAAUGCGCUUGGAGAGGAGUUCGCGGCAGAUUAGUUAGUUGGCGGGGUAAUGGCCCACCAAGACGAUGAUCUGUA